This 25-nucleotide transfer RNA is filed under the name Sceloporus scalaris (bunch grass lizard). RNAcentral's name for it is "partial tRNA-Ser". Lineage: Eukaryota; Metazoa; Chordata; Lepidosauria; Squamata; Phrynosomatidae. The record is from RNAcentral.
AGGGGUGUUUGAACACCAAGAACUG